This 8773-nucleotide long non-coding RNA is filed under the name Nicotiana tabacum (common tobacco). RNAcentral's name for it is "long non-coding RNA (NTAB_LNC003244)". Lineage: Eukaryota; Viridiplantae; Streptophyta; Magnoliopsida; Solanales; Solanaceae. The record is from RNAcentral.
AGGGUUCAGGGUUUGGUGAAGAAGAUGAGUGAAGGGGGGUUAGGAUAGGGGGCGGGGUAGCAAGGUUAGGCCUUAUAUAUGCUUUAGAGUUUUAGAUCCUGGCCGUUGGAUCAAGGGAGAUCUAUGGCCAGGAUCUAUUCUUUAGGUAGGACGUCGUCGUUUAGGUGGGAAGGUAGUUAAAACCGGGUAGGGAAAUGGGUCGGAUUAAAUUAACGGGUCUAAAGGGCGGGCCUCGAUCCGUUGGAUCAAAGGGAUUGGACGGCUCAGAUCAAACGCCUUGAACGGCGUCGUUAUGGUUAAAUGGGCGAUCUGAUCAAGACCGUUCAUUUAAAUCAUAUCAAUGGCUCUAAUAGGGAUGCUGAUACGGCAUCGUUUGAGUCAGUGCUUGGGCAGGCCUGGCUUGGACUGGGUCUUGCAUUGGCUUUGGGCCUCAUUUGGGGCCCAAUCCGAUUUCUUCACUUCUUUUUUUUUUCUUUUCUUUUUUUCUGAUUUUAAAAUACAACUAAAUUAAACUGAAUUUAAAACACUCAUUAAUCAACACCUAAACAAUUAUCACACACAUAUUAAAAUUUUAAAAAUGGUUAAAUCAUAGCCUAGAAUAAAAGCUGCAUAUUUUUGUGAAUUUUCUUUUAAAGACCGAAUUAUGGCCCGAUUACACACGGCAUACUUAUUUUGUAUUUUUGUUGGAGAAGAUUCAAUGAAAAAUGGAUAGAAACACAAAGGACUACCAGCACAUGUCACGUAAAAAUUGAAAAUUUGUAUGGCGAGGCCAUUUGCAAUUAUUUUGAUUUCUUUUGGAGUGAUUGUUCGUGAAGCAAAAAUCACGUGCUUACACCCGUUACUCGUUUUUUGGCAUUUUAAGGUCAUAAAACUUGAAUUCCGCCCGAUUCCCAGAUUUUCGUAUGCUAUAACCCACACCUCCUACAUGGGCCGGGGCGAUCGGUCCCCGAUCGCCUAAAACUUUGCUAGCCCAUCAAAAAUGACCUAAGAAAAAAUAGCCACCGCCCACCACAACUGUUACUCGUUUUUUAGCAUUCUAGGGUCGUAAAACUGGAAUUUUGCAUGAUUCCCAAAUUUUCGUGUGCUAUAGCCUAUGCCUCCUGCACGGGCCCCAGAUAUCGGACCCGGAUCGCCUAAAAUAUUCUCGGCCCGACAAAAACAAUCUAAGAAUAAUAGUUACCGCCUCGCCAUUAGCGUUACUCGUUUUUGGGCGUUUUAGGGUCAUAAAACUGGAAUUCUGUCCGAUUCUCAAAUUUUCGUGUGCCUCCUGCGUGGGGCCGGGCAAACAAAUUAGGGUCGCCUAUAAUUUUUCCAGCCCAUCAAAACGACCGAAGGAACAAUAGUCACCGCCUCUCCAUAAUCGUUGUUCGGUUUUUUUGGUGUUUUAAAGCCAUAAAACUGGAAUUCUGCGUGAUUCCUAGAUUUUCAUGUGCUAUAGCCCACACCUUCUGCAUGUACCCAGGCACCAGGACCCGCAUUGCCUAAAAAUUUUGUCAGCCAUUAAAUAUGACCUAAGGAAUAAUAGUCACUGCCUCGCCAUUACCGUUACACAUUUUUUGACAUUUUAGGGCCAUAAAAUUGGAAUUCGCCUAAUUUUCAAAUUUUAAUGUGCCCAAGCCCAUGCCUCCUGCACAUGCACGGGUCCGGGAGCCCGAAUCUGGAUCACCUAAAAAUUUUCAGGCCCAUCAAAAAUGAUCUAAGGAACAAUGGUCACAGCCUCUCCAUGAUCAUUACUCGUUUUUUGGCGUUUUAGGGCUAUAAAACUAGAAUUUCCCCGAUUCCCAGAUUUUCGUGUGCUAUAUAGCCCACACCUCUUGCAUGGGCCCGGACGCCUGAACCUGGAUCGUCUAAAAAUUUUCUAGACCAUAAAAAAUGACUUAAGAAAAUAUAGUCACUGCCUCGCCAUGACUGUUACUCAUUUUUUGGCAUCUUAGGGCCAUAAAAUUGGAAUUCUGCUCAAUUUCUAGAUUUUCGUGUUCUAUAGCCUGCGCUUCCUGCAUGGGCCCAAACAAACGAGCCUGGAUCGCCUAAAAUUCGUCGGCCCAUAAAAAAUGACCUAAGGAGCAAUAGUCACCGCCUAGCCAUGAUCGUUACUCGUUUUUUUGGCAUUUUAGGACCAUAAAACUGGAAUUCAAACCGAUUCCCAAAUUUUCGUGUGCAAUAGCCUGCACCUCCUGCAUAGGGGCGCCCAAACCUGGAUCGCCUAAAUUGCAGGGCCAUCAAAAAUGAUCUAAUGAAUAAUAGGCACCGCCUAGGCAUGAUUGUUACUCGUUUUUUAGCGUUUAAGGGCCAAAAACUAGAAUUCGGGCCAAAAACUCCUAAUGUUGUGAAUUUCAUCUGCUUACCAGAUGGUUAUGUGACUGUACUGUGCUAAACAAUCAUACUCCACUUGUGAGAUUUUUCUGGUUUGUUGUUAUUAUUGUAUAAACAGAAAAUGUAAAUUAAAGAUCUUCUAAUGACAUGAUUAAUGUAAUCUAACCUAUUAUAGUAGUUUUAGUAUAAUAGGAUAGUUACAAUUUUUUUUCAGAUUACUAUUGAGAAUUCGUCAUAAAUAUUUACCUAUAAUUACCUUAUAAAUGACCUGAUUAUGUAAAUAUUUUUAUACCGUCAAUUUUAAGACUAACGGUCAGUUAUUAAAACUAGCUGCUCCACUUUCAAUAUCCUCCUACCAUCUAAAUUGGUAAUUUUCAUGUUUUUGGCCUUCUAGUAGAUUAUAUGAACUGUGUAAGCUUGUUCCUAAGGCAUGUAGUUAAGAAUUUUGCUCGUAAUAUCGCAAGUAGCUAGACCAUCAACACAUGAUUCGUAUGAGUACAAAAGUGUUCAUAAUAAUAUCAGAUCAUACAUCAAGCUGAUCAUCAACUCAUAUUUUUCCCCUUAAUUAUGACCACUUGGUCUUUUUAUAGAUCCACUUCAGAGGAUUACAAAUAUAGUACUAUUACUAUAUACUUGACUUUAAGUUGCUUUUUAGAGCAAUUAUUUAAGUUCUUGAUAUCAAGCAGAACAAUCCAUACAUAUUAACGUGAAAUGGACGUAGGUCGUUUCAAUUAGUAUGGACUUUCGCCUCUAUAAUUACCUGGAGGAUCAUAGUUGCAAGAGACAACAUAUCCUCCAUUGUUACACUGAACCCUAGCACAUCCAACACGAACCGAGUUACGCCAAACCACCUGAGUAUAGUGUCCACACACCUGUCCUUGUGCACAAGUAUUUGAGUCAUGGUCAUAAUACUGUUUCUCAUCGACCCACAUCUCAACGGCCUUAGCAGCCGUCAUGAAAUCGCCACUUCCCUCAGCUAGGUUUUCGCCGUAUUGACCAUGAGAAUGUACGAGGUUACAAUCUGCAGCCAAUUGGGAAGCAUAAUUUUGCGCAUAGGCUGCUACCUGGUCGUCCCAGGUCAAAGGUUCUACACCUACAUCUGCACGAGCUGUGUUAUGGGCAUCCAAAUAGUCUUGUUGAGAAUUUUGGGCACGGCAAGAGUGGGAUAUUACUAGGAAUAAGAGAAGUGUAGAGACAAGAAGAAAUGAAGGCAAUUGUGAAAAGAGAACAAAUCCCAUGACUAUAGGAGAAAUGUUGUAUCUUGAAUGGAAAAACUAGAUUUACUACCAAGGGUAUUUAUAGGAGAAAUCUUGAAGAUUUCACGGUGAUUAUUCAUGUACUUACUAAAUUUUUUGACAUGGUAAUAUCAAUGUAAUAUAUCCUGUUAUAGAUAAUUUAUCCUAUUUUCUAGGUUACCAUAUUAAACUUAUAUAUGCAGUUACCAAUUGUUGUAAAAUAGUUUUACCCGAUGUUGCAAAAUAAUUUUAAAUUGUCAAUGCAUGAAGUUAAACACUUUUUUGAUCUAUCAGAUGUGCUUUUUGUUAAAUAAAGUAGACUGGUUAUGGUUAAUGUGUUAAUUAAUAUUUUCUACAUUUAACGAUCUGAUUAAUUUUUACUUCCAUAUUUAUAUCUCUUUUUUUUCAGAAUGGGAAUGUCCAUUGGAAAAAGAAUUUAAAAUAAAUACUUUGAUGUUUGAUUUUUCUAAUAAUCUUAUUUCUAAAUCUUAUAUUAUAUUUCUUAUAUGUACAAUCAAUUCUCUAAAAGAAAAAACUAUAAUAAUACCAAACACAGUUUGUGUCUUCUUCUUUCUUUUCUCAAUAUUUGUGGAAAACUUGAACAUGGCCGUCAUCUCGAUGACGUUAAAUAACUAUCAAAUUUGGACGUAAAGAAUAUUUGGAUAUUCUUCAGUUCUUUCUCUAAUUUCCUUCCCUUAAUUUCCAACUUGAUGUUACUCAUGUACUAUCAUACUUUUCUAUUAUCUCAUUCCAAUCACGGCUUGAUCUGGAGUAUAAAUAAAUUUCUAUUUUCUUAUCCCAAUCACGACUUGACUUUAGAUUCAAAUGGAGUAUUUUUUUAUUUUUUGUAAAUAGCUUAUGUUUAUUUCGUUUUUCGACAUUAGUGGAAAAGAAAGCUCAAGUUUUAGUGAAGCUAGAGUUUGAAAUCCUCGAGGGUGUUUUAAGAUUUAACUACUUUAUUUUUCCAAGAAAUAGCACCCUAAAGCAUCUCGCUGUAAUGGCGUUCACUUAUUUUCCCUUUAAUUUAAAUGGAUAAAUGACAACCAAACUCCUUAAAAAGACUUCGGCCAAUGCUUUAGGUGGUGAAGUAUAGACCCAAUACUUACAAGAGAGACCAGUGUUUUUGUUAUGCAAAAAGAGUAAUUGAAGAAUUUUGUAACUAUUGCCAUUUAGCAAUUUGNNNNNNNNNNCNNUCACUUUUGUUUGACAUGUAUACUAAAAAUAGAUUUUCAUUUUUACUUUUCACUUUAUGCAUGUUAAGAGAAGACAAUUUUUUUUUCCUGUUAUACCCACAGUAUUUAUUACUCAUUUCAAAUCAUUUUCUCAAAUCCAAUAAAAUAUGCAUCAAUUAAUAUGGGUAUCAUGGUAAAUUAUGCAUUUCAAUCAUUUUUUCUUAAAGGGUUUGAAAAAUCAAAACGUGUCAAGUAAAAGUAAACAGAGUACAUAUUAUUGUAAAUUAACUUAUCGUGAUGAUUAAAAAAAUUAUAGUCUAUUAGAUGCAAAAAAAAAAAAAAUGAAAACUUAGACCCUACACUAUGAUAAUUGACAUCCUCGUAUAUCUUAGUCCUUAAAAACGUUUAUGUGCUACGAUCCCUAGGUAAAGGUUUGCGCCAUCAGGGUCGCAAAUUGUGCCUCACGACUUGACUAUAAGAUCAAAAUUAAGGUAUCUUAAUUAAUUUAUUCUAUUGAUAAUAGAGCUUAAAAUUCAAAUGUUCUUGAGGUUUUACUUUUCUUAUUGCAAUACAUUCCUCAUUAACUUUAUAGAACAAAAAAAAUGAUACAGUGAGAAAUCAUAGUUGCAAAUCUGAUUGUCAAGAUUUAUCAGAUUUGGGUUCAAAGAAAGUAGAAUAACUUUAUCUUUCAGCAAAUUUGUAUGGACUUAUUUGAGUUAUGCAUUGCUUGGUUCAUCUCUUAUGAUGUAUUGAAGGUUCUCUACGUAGCAUGUCAUGAGUGAAGAAUCAAAAUAGAAUUGCAAGCUCAAUAUUAAAAAGAAUAACUGAAAGUAGAAUUGAAAUUUUUGUGGAAGAAAAUAAUUGGAUAGUUUAUUCAAUUCACGAAUGGCCUUAUAUAGGCAUACAAAUUAGCUUGAAUAUGUUAUCCCACUAAACAAACUCUCCUAAACUUUAGGAAAAAUAUCUGCAACUAACAAUAACAAAAUAACAACUUGAAGCUAAAAACUAGCUAUACUACUGACUUAGUCAACACUACAAGUUGUACAUGGCACAAGUGCAGGAUUAAAGUUGCAGGCACCAUCAGCGUCGUACAUUGUGCUACAGCCUACAAGAGUUGACUCCAACACAAAGAAUGAGAAAAGAAUCAAUACAAACGGAAAGGUAAACAUCUUUACUGGGAUUGUGAAUGCUUUUAUUUGUUUUGAUUCCUUUUAGGCAAUUCGGAUCAGGUUAACCCGGAUUCAUGUAGAUGACGUGAAUUAUAGCACACGAAAAUUUGUAAAUCGACCCGAAUUUCAGUUUUUUAUCCCUAAAAUGCCAAAAGAAGAGGAACGGUCAUGCUGAAGCCAUGAUUAUUGUUCAUUAGGUUAUUUUUUAUGGCCCCGCAAACUGAAAAUUCUGGAUAUCGGGUAGAAUUCCAGCUUUACGGUCGUAAAACACAAAACACGAGGAACGGUCAUGGCAAGGAAAUGACUAAUAUUCCUUAGAUCAUUUUUUAUGGGACGGUAAAAUGGCGACUCGGGUCUGGUCGCUCGAACUAUGCAGAUGGCAUGGGCUAUAGCACACAAAAAUUUAGAAAUCAAGUAGAAUUCCAGUUUUGUGGGCCUAAAAUGCCAAAUAAUGAGUAAACGAUGACUAGUAUUUCUUAGGUCAUUUUUUAUUGGUCGGAAAUUUUUUAGGUGAUUCGGGUCCAGUCGUCCAGACCCAUGUAGAUGACGUAAGCUAUAACACACGAAAAUCUAGGAAUUAUACGGAAUUAAAAAAUUUAUGGCCCUAAAAUACCCAAAAAUGAGGAAUGGUCAUGGCGAGGCGAAGACUAAUGUUCCUUAAGUCGUUCUUGAUGGGCCAAAAACUUUUUAGGCGAUUCAGGUCUAAUCGCUCAGACCCAUGCAAAUGGCGCGAGUUAUAUAGCACAGAAAAUUUGGAAUUGGUCGAAUUCCAAUUUGUUGGCCUUAAAAUGCCAAAAAAUGAAGAACGGUCAUGCUUAAGUCAUGACUAUUGUUCAUUAGGUAAUUUUUAUGGCCCUGCAAAAUUUUAGUUUAUUCGAAUUCGGUAGUCUGAAUUCAUGCAUAUGGCUAUAGCACACGAAAAUUUGAAAAACGACCUGAAUUCUAAUUUUUUGGCCCUAAAAUGAAAAAAAAAGGAACAUUGUUCAUUCAGUCAUUUUUUAUGGUCCCGCAAAAUCUUAGGCGAUUCCAAUCCAGUAGCCCAGAUUCAUGCAGAUGCGUGGACUAUAACACAUGAAAAAUUAGAAAUCUGCCGGAAUUUCAAUAUUUUGGCACUAAAAUGCCUAAAAAUAAGGAACGGUUACGCCGAAGCCGUGACUAUUAUUCAUUAGGUCACUUUUAUGGUCCAGUAAAAUUUUAGGAGAUUCAGAUCGGGUAGCCCUGAUUCAUGUAGAUGGCGUGGAUUAUAGCAUACGAAAAUUUGGAAAUCUGCCCGAAUUCUAAUUUUUUGGCCUUAAAAUACCAAAAAUCGAGGAAUGGUAAUGCCAAAAUCAUGAUUAUUGUUGAUAAGUUCAUUUUUUAUGACCCCGUAAAAUCUUAGGCGAUUCGGAUCCGGUAGCCUGGAUUCAUGCAAAUGGUGUAGACGAUAACACAUGAAAAUUUGAAAAUCGACCCCAAUUAUAGUUUUUUGGCCCUAAAAUGCAAAAGCCUAGGAACGUCCAUGUUGAAGCAAUGACUAUUAUUCGUUAGGUAAUUUCUUAUGAUCGUGUAAAAUUUUAGUCAAUUCGGAUCCAGUAUCCCGGAUUCAUGCAGAUGGCCUGGACUAUAAAGGAAAUUUGGAAAUUGGCCUAAUUCCAGUUUUUUGGCCCUAAAAUGCAAAAAAUAAGGAAAUGUCAUGCCGAAAACCAUGAAAAUGAUUCAUUAGGUUAUUUUUGUGGUCCCUCCAAAUUUUAGGAUAUUCAAAUCUGGUAACCCGAAUUCAUGCACAUAGAACGGAUUAUAACACACGAAAAUUUAAAAAUCGACCUGAAUUCUAUCUUUUUAGACCUUAAAUGCCAAAAAAGAGGAACAGUCAUGCCGAAGCCAUGACUAUUGUACAUCAUUUUUUAUGGACCCCGCAAAAUUUUAGGCGAUUUAGAUCCGGUAGGCCAGAUUAUUGUAGAUGGCGUGGACUAUAGCAUGCAAAAAAUUAGAAAUCGGCCCGAAUUCUAGUUUUUUGCCCUAAAUUGCCAAAAAAACAGGGAACGAUAUGUCGAAGCCAUGACUAUUAUUCAUUAAGGCAUUUUUUAUAGCCCCAUAAAAUUCGAUAUCCACACCUAAAAUAGCUAUCACUUCGCCAUGAUUGUUCAUUGUUUUUUGAAUUUUAAGACCAUAAAACAGGAAUUCAGGAUAACUUCUAGAUUUUCGUGUGUUAUAGUCCGUGCAUCUACAUGACUCGGGUGUCCGGUCCCGAAUUUACUAAACUUUUGCAGUCCAAUAAAAAAUGACCUAAUGAAUAAUAGUCAUCGUUUCGCCAUGAUCGUUUCUCAUUUUUGCUGUUUUAGGGCCACAAACAGAAAUUCAUGACGAUUCCCAGAUUUGCGUGUGCUCUAGUCCACGCUAUCUGUAUAAAUUCUGGUGACUAUUUUAGAAUCUCCUAAAAUUUUGUAGGCCCAUCAAAACUGACAUAAUGAACAAUAGCCACCGCUUUCUCGUGAUUAUUCCUCAUUUUUUUGGCGUUUUAGAGCCAUAAAAUAGGAAUUCAGGACGAUUCCCAGAUUUUAGUGUGCUAUAGUCCACGCUAUUUGCAUGAAUUCAUGCGACCGACUUCGAAACUCCUAAAAAUUUUGGGUUCCAUAAAAAUUGACCGGAUGAUCAAUAGUCAUCGCUUCGCCAUUACCCACCGUCUUUAUUUGGCAUUUUAAGGCUAUAAAAUAGAAAUUCAAGACGAUUCUCAAAUUUUCGUGUACUAUAAGUCUACACCAUAUGCAUGAAUUCGGGCGACCGAACCAGAAUCUCCUAAAAUUUUGUGGAACUAUAAAAACGACCUAAUUAGUAAUAAUCAUCGUUUCACCAUGAUUGUGCCUCAUUUUUUGGCUUUUUGGACCAUAAAACAGGAAUUCAAGAU